UCAGUGUUAACACAAGAGCUCUAUAGGAUAGAGGGUAUUGCCCCCACUUUUUAGAGGAGGAGGUAAAGCUAUGGAAGAUGACUCCUCUGGGGCCCACAGUGAGGUAUGUAGGAUCGUGGUCAUAACCUAUCCCCAAUCCCCAGUCUUCCUUACAAUUGUGCUGUGCUGUUACAGAGUCCUGGAACAAGGAUUGAAGUGACAUUGCAGCUUGACCACUGAAACAGCUUGCAAACUCCGGUUCUUGUGAUUUGAGGCCAAGGACUCCAAGAUGGGGUGAUGAGGAGAAGGGGAGAGCCAGAUCUUAGCCUUGCCAUUUGGAAAAGGGCUUGCUAUUCAUCCUUUUGGAUCCUGCAAUUCAUCAUCUUGAGUGGAUUUGUUGCAAAAGCACGAUCACGACCAAUCUGACAUCUACAAUGGCAUCGUUUCCUGUGGGGUCCCUGAUCUGCCAGUAGGGGAUUCUCUGAAGCAAUUAGACAGAAGCAUCGCACAAGCUCAUAGGCAUAACAUGGCCAUCGGGCAAGGACAGCACCUUCAAAUGAAUGCAGGAGAGUAGCAUAUGGAUGGAGAAGAUGCACUGUGCGUUCUUGCAGGCAACUUUUCCACUGUGUCUCCCCCUUCAGCCAACACAGGCCUGGAACAAAACAGAAUCUGGAAAGUAGACAUUGCACUGAAUCUCAUGUAGCUUCGGAUUGUGCUUGAGCUUAUCUAAGGUGGAGGUUCGGGGAACAGGGAGGAGCUGUAUAAUAACAUUUGGAACAUUCUUCCUAAGAUCCAUGGCUCCACUUUGACUUAUUCAACAUUAAGAGGAAUAAAGUCCAGAUUGCUUCUGCUGUGUUCCCAAGGCUCACGAAAGCCAGACACUAGACUCCCGUUGGAUCUAAAAGGAAACUCCUGAAUAAAUCCACAAUGUUACUGGGAAAACGUCUUGAAGGGCCAGUGUUUCUGAUUUCUCAGGUCCUGAGAGGCAGUCAUGGCUGACAAGAUACAAAUGUUUACAAUCCGAGGGCUCAUCUUACAGUUUAGAGAAGGGGAAUCAGCGACUUAGAAGCCACGAAUGAAGAGUCAAGAUGCAUAGUCAUCAGGCACUGGGUGUUAUGGGAGAAAAGGAUAUGGGAUGGUGAGGACACACCGGGUGACACUGAGCAAAGCCCUGAAGGGAGCUGUAUGGGCAGAAGCUUUGGGAUCAUCCCAGGGCCUCCUGAGCUGCUCAAACUGUAUCCCAGGCAUGAGGGCAAACGAAAACAAGAAGGGUGGAGAAGCAACAGCAACCACAUUACCCCGUCCGUCCUCGUCCUCCUUGCCAUCUGGUGGGCCCUGGAAACCAUCGAUAUAUUUAGUUACUAUGUUUACACAGGAGGCAGGACCCACAGUGUUUGCUCCAGACUCCCCCAGGGUUGCCAGGAUGGUCUCUACUUCCCUGGGAUCCUAAGGACGACUCCCAACCCCUGUACACGCCCAUGGGCUAAAGAUCUACCCAGUCCUGGGGUUCUAGAAACUUCUUAGACUGUCCAAAUUGGAGGGAUGUUUAGGCUACCUUAGACCUCAUCUAGCUUUUGCCUGGGGCCUGGGUGUCCAUUUGGGAAGGACGACUUGAGAACACGUUGCCUAAGCCAGGAAGGGCUUAGGAUCGUCCAGCCACACAAGCUGCCAGGUUGAAGACAGUGGAUGGCUGAAUCAUGAACAUUAACCAUGGAGCCUGGACCAUGGCAGCAGCUCACUGGACACAGACUAUUAAUAACCAUGGCUACAUCUCUGUUUCAGAUAUGGAACAUAUGUGCCUGCUCAGAAAGUGGGUUGUAUGUCAUGGGUUUCCCCAUGGGAUUCCCCACCUCAUUUUUUUUUUUUUUGAGUGGAAAAGCGGAAGGUUAUAAAGGUUCAUUACUUCACAUCUGACUGGGACAGUUAAUAAAGGAUGAGCAGAAUUUGAAGGUGGCUUCUUCAUCUCUACCCAAUCCUGGGGGACAAAGUCAUGGAUAAACUGU
This 1982-nucleotide long non-coding RNA is filed under the name Mus pahari (shrew mouse). RNAcentral describes it as "RIKEN cDNA 4933434M16 gene (MGP_PahariEiJ_G0004674.1)". The record is from RNAcentral. Lineage: Eukaryota; Metazoa; Chordata; Mammalia; Rodentia; Muridae.